RNAcentral lists this non-coding RNA (190 nucleotides) under Ruminococcus sp. RNAcentral's name for it is "6S RNA". It matches the Rfam family "6S / SsrS RNA". Rfam says of the family: E. coli 6S RNA was the first non coding RNA to be sequenced, but its function was unknown until recently. Lineage: Bacteria; Bacillati; Bacillota; Clostridia; Eubacteriales; Oscillospiraceae. The record is from RNAcentral. RNAcentral also lists the same sequence under 1 other name.
GAAAGACUGCCUUGUUUGUGACUAUGUGGUUUUUUAUAAUCCAACACUCUUUUCUAGGGAAUUUAGCUCCGGGUGCGGAUUGCAGACCUCCCGCUUUUGCGGAGGAAGGGAGCGUGAACCAUUCGGGCGGAUACCCACCUUGCCUUUCGGCUUGGUUUUAUGUGCCACAAGACGGCAAGGCGGUUUUUUA